This 389-nucleotide long non-coding RNA is filed under the name Dromaius novaehollandiae (emu). Its description in RNAcentral is "lncRNA (ENSDNVG00000007739.1)". Lineage: Eukaryota; Metazoa; Chordata; Aves; Casuariiformes; Dromaiidae. The record is from RNAcentral.
GUGUGUGUGUGUGGCUAUUGUUUAGAUAAUGAUCUGAACAUGAGUGCUUUUUCAUAGAGCCUUUACAAAGGCUUUUAUGCUUCCUCCAGGCCUCUGUACCCUUCGGUAAAGACACACCCAUCUAACCCAUCUACCUAUUACAUUCCUUUCCAAACGACAUGCCAAUUAAAGGCAAGGCUCUGAUAAUCUCAUUCAUGCUGACAUCUCAUCUAAAUUAAUUAGAUCACUUCCAUGAGACAGUAUUGCAGCUCAUGAAGCUACAUGGAACAGUUCCAGUGACUCUCAUCCCUCAAACUGCUYGCAGCUGUCUGCUACCUGGAUGUUACUGUCCAAAAGAGCUCAGCUGGCAGAAGGGAACCUCUGAGCACUUUGUGCCGUUAGCCAACUGA